GCCAACACAGUGCAUUGGUUUGAAUGUUGGAUUAGAACUUCAAGAGACCAGGGUUCAAAUCCCUGUUCAGUCG
Molecule: non-coding RNA, 73 nt
Organism: Phrynosoma platyrhinos (Desert horned lizard)
Lineage: Eukaryota; Metazoa; Chordata; Lepidosauria; Squamata; Phrynosomatidae
Source: the annotation of a GenBank genome assembly